UUUAAAAGCUUGCUUUUAAAUCUUAGCGGCGGACGGGUGAGUAACACGUGGGCAACCUGCCUGUAAGACUGGGAUAACUUCGGGAAACCGGAGCUAAUACCGGAUAACUUCAGACACCUCCUGGUGUCUGAAUAAAAGAUGGCUUCGGCUAUCACUUACAGAUGGGCCCGCGGCGCAUUAGCUAGUUGGUGAGGUAACGGCUCACCAAGGCGACGAUGCGUAGCCGACCUGAGAGGGUGAUCGGCCACACUGGGACUGAGACACGGCCCAGACUCCUACGGGAGGCAGCAGUAGGGAAUCUUCCGCAAUGGACGAAAGUCUGACGGAGCAACGCCGCGUGAGCGAUGAAGGCCUUCGGGUCGUAAAGCUCUGUUGUUAGGGAAGAACAAGUACCGUUCGAAUAGGGCGGUACCUUGACGGUACCUAACCAGAAAGCCACGGCUAACUACGUGCCAGCAGCCGCGGUAAUACGUAGGUGGCAAGCGUUGUCCGGAAUUAUUGGGCGUAAAGCGCGCGCAGGCGGUCCUUUAAGUCUGAUGUGAAAGCCCACGGCUCAACCGUGGAGGGUCAUUGGAAACUGGGGGACUUGAGUACAGAAGAAGAAAGUGGAAUUCCAGUGUAGCGGUGAAUGCGUAGAGAGUGGAGGAACCCAGUGGCGAAGCGACUUCUGGUCUGUACUGACGCUGAGCGCGAAGCGUGGGAGCAACAGGAUUAGAUACCUGGUAUCCACGCCGUAACGAUGAUGCUAGUGUAGAGGGUUCCGCCCUUUAGUGCUGAGUUACGCAUUAGCACUCCCCUGGGAGUACGUCGCAGACUGAACUCAAGGAAUGACGGGGCCGCACAGCGUGGAGCAGUGGUUAUUCGAGCACGCGAGAACUUACAGUCUGACU
Molecule: ribosomal RNA, 890 nt
Filed under: Bacillus sp. (in: firmicutes)
Lineage: Bacteria; Bacillati; Bacillota; Bacilli; Caryophanales; Bacillaceae
Description: bacterial SSU rRNA
Rfam family: Bacterial small subunit ribosomal RNA
Source: RNAcentral